GUUGAUGGACCUUUAUUUUUGCUGCAGUCUGGCUGGGCACAAAAUCACGAGCCACCACACACCUUGUAGAUUCAAACAGCAACUCUUUAUUCUCGAACUGUCACUGGCACUUUACACACACGUUCUGGGCAAAUCCACGUUCUGGGCCAAAUCCACGUUCUGAAUCCCAAAUACUCUCUGAAUCCCACGAGAACUCAAGCAGUGGGCGCGCCUGAGGCAGCAGGAUAUGCCCUAUUCCCAG
Molecule: long non-coding RNA, 241 nt
Filed under: Marmota monax (woodchuck)
Lineage: Eukaryota; Metazoa; Chordata; Mammalia; Rodentia; Sciuridae
Source: RNAcentral